AAAAUAUUUCGCCUCUUCAUAAAUCUAUAGAAGUGAUUUUUAUUAAUGAAUACGACAACGAAUAUUAUUUGCCACACAUUUCCAUGACUCAAUAUCUAAUUUCCUCCCUUAUUUUUAAUACUAUUGGUUGGCAUUGUCACAUUUGCGAGGCCACAUUGAAGCAACAAAUUGAGUAUGUUCCCCAUAAUAACUCUAAUCUCAAUAAAUUGAUUCAAACUUCAGAAGCUUUGCAUAUUCAUUUAGCAAAUGGAACAUGUAGUCAUACACGUAAUCCAUCUUAAGCUCUUCUUUAAUAAACUUGCUCCCCGCUUUACCGAUUUCGAGAGAGGUUUUCCUGAAAUUUCAAGCAACUUUACAUCUAGACCAAAAAUAAUCAGAAAAUGAGAGAGCAAAUACUAACAUGUAAAACAGCAUCACAAUGAGAAGUUCUGAUGGGAAGAGAUACAUGAGAAGGCUUUGUGGCAUCUACAUAAUCAGAAAAGUUUAUAGAAACCUCUCCAAUAUAGCUAGCUUUCGAUAACCCCUGCAACAUAGAACCCUUAAAUUACAUAACUAGAACAAAAUUAAACUGUUGGCUAUGACUCGUAAGUAGGGAAGUCGCUCAACUGGACCGUAGUAUUUACACACAAGUUGUUGUAAUUUGUAACCAUAAAUUUUAAUCAUAAUAGAAUAAACUUGACUUAGGUUGUUGUUCUAA
Cicer arietinum (chickpea) is the source of this 697-nucleotide long non-coding RNA. RefSeq lists it as uncharacterized. The record is from RefSeq and is a predicted model, not a curated record. NCBI's taxonomy places the organism in Eukaryota, Viridiplantae, Streptophyta, Magnoliopsida, Fabales, Fabaceae.